RNAcentral lists this ribosomal RNA (492 nucleotides) under uncultured bacterium. Its description in RNAcentral is "partial 16S ribosomal RNA". It matches the Rfam family "Bacterial small subunit ribosomal RNA", at positions 29 to 507 of the family's 1533-position model. The record is from RNAcentral.
AGUGAACGCUGGCGGUAGGCCUAACACAUGCAAGUCGAACGGCAGCGCAGUAAGAGCUUGCUCUUACGGGUGGCGAGUGGCGGACGGGUGAGGAAUACAUCGGAAUCUACUUUUUCGGGGGGGAUAACGUAGGGAAACUUACGCUAAUACCGCAUACGACCUACGGGUGAAAGCAGGGGAUCUUCGGACCUUGCGCGAUUGAAUGAGCCGAUGUCGGAUUAGCUAGUUGGCGGGGUAAAGGCCCACCAAGGCGACGAUCCGUAGCUGAUCUGAGAGGAUGAUCAGCCACACUGGAACUGAGACACGGUCCAGACUCCUACGGGAGGCAGCAGUGGGGAAUAUUGGACAAUGGGCGCAAGCCUGAUCCAGCCAUACCGCGUGGGCGAAGAAGGCCUUCGGGUUGUAAAGCCCUUUUGUUGGGAAAGAAAAGCAGCAGGUUAAUCCCCCGCUGUUCUGACGGUACCCAAAGAAUAAGCACCGGCUAACUUCGUG